UACGUAGGGUGCGAGCGUUUUCCGGAUUUAUUUGGCGUAAAGGGCUCUUUGGCGGCCUGUCGCGUCGGGAGUGAAAGCCCACUGCUUAACGGUGGGUCUGCUUCCGGUACGGGCGGGCUGGAGUAUGGCAGGGGAGACUGGAAUUCCUGGUGUAGCGGUGGAAUGCGCAGAUAUCAGGAGGAACACCGGUGGCGAAGGCGGGUCUCUGGGCCAUUACUGACGCUGAGGAGCGAAAGCGUGGGGAGCGAACAGG
This 253-nucleotide ribosomal RNA is filed under the name uncultured bacterium. Its description in RNAcentral is "partial 16S ribosomal RNA". It matches the Rfam family "Bacterial small subunit ribosomal RNA", at positions 524 to 776 of the family's 1533-position model. The record is from RNAcentral.